UGGCUCAGAUGGUAAAGUAUCUGCCUGUAAUGCGGGUGACCCAGGUUCGAUCCCUGG
Molecule: transfer RNA, 57 nt
Filed under: Ovis aries (sheep)
Lineage: Eukaryota; Metazoa; Chordata; Mammalia; Artiodactyla; Bovidae
Rfam family: tRNA
About the family: Transfer RNA (tRNA) molecules are approximately 80 nucleotides in length. Their secondary structure includes four short double-helical elements and three loops (D, anti-codon, and T loops). Further hydrogen bonds mediate the characteristic L-shaped molecular structure. tRNAs have two regions of fundamental functional importance: the anti-codon, which is responsible for specific mRNA codon recognition, and the 3' end, to which the tRNAs corresponding amino acid is attached (by aminoacyl-tRNA synthetases). tRNAs cope with the degeneracy of the genetic code in two manners: having more than one tRNA (with a specific anti-codon) for a particular amino acid; and 'wobble' base-pairing, i.e. permitting non-standard base-pairing at the 3rd anti-codon position.
Source: Rfam by way of RNAcentral